GGCUGGUCCAAAGGUAGUGAGUUAUCUCACUUGAUUGUUCACAGUCAGUUACAGAUUGAACUGUUCUACUCUUUCCCCCUUUCCCACUACUGUACUUGACUAGUCUUAA
Otolemur garnettii (small-eared galago) is the source of this 109-nucleotide unclassified non-coding RNA. It matches the Rfam family "Y RNA". Rfam says of the family: Y RNAs are components of the Ro ribonucleoprotein particle (Ro RNP), in association with Ro60 and La proteins. The Y RNAs and Ro60 and La proteins are well conserved, but the function of the Ro RNP is not known. In humans the RNA component can be one of four small RNAs -- hY1, hY3, hY4 and hY5. The record is from Ensembl. NCBI's taxonomy places the organism in Eukaryota, Metazoa, Chordata, Mammalia, Primates, Galagidae.